This 361-nucleotide transfer-messenger RNA is filed under the name Trueperaceae. Its description in RNAcentral is "MPNL01 sp002239005 Standard tmRNA". It matches the Rfam family "transfer-messenger RNA". Rfam says of the family: Bacterial tmRNA, also known as 10Sa RNA or SsrA, is named for its dual tRNA and mRNA-like properties. Its role is to liberate the mRNA from a stalled ribosome. Lineage: Bacteria; Thermotogati; Deinococcota; Deinococci; Trueperales. The record is from RNAcentral. RNAcentral also lists the same sequence under 1 other name.
GGGGGCGACACGGUUUCGACGUGAGUCACUGAGGGUUCGGUUGCAAGCCGAGGAUGGCGGUUGGCCUCGUUAAAAUCCGCCAAGCCUUCAAACGGCAACCAAAGCGACUCGUUCGCACUCGCUGCUUGAUAGCAGCGCGCCCGCUAGAAGCUCGGCCGUUGGCUCGCUAGUUGAGGCGCUCUAAUGACGGCUAGGUCCUGAGUUCGUGCGUUGACUCCUGACCGAAGAUGAAGACGCAUAGGCACUGGGCAGACGCCCGUUCCUGAGCCGACCCAGUGCCGAAAUUUGAUCGGGGACUAAGCUUGUAGAGGCCCACCUGAAGGGCUUGCGGACGCGGGUUCGACUCCCGCCGCCUCCACCA